CAGUCUAAACAUGCAGUCGAGCGGUAGCACAGAGAGCUUGCUCUCGGGUGACGAGCGGCGGACGGGUGAGUAAUGUCUGGGAAACUGCCUGAUGGAGGGGGAUAACUACUGGAAACGGUAGCUAAUACCGCAUAACGUCGCAAGACCAAAGUGGGGGACCUUCGGGCCUCAUGCCAUCAGAUGUGCCCAGAUGGGAUUAGCUAGUAGGUGGGGUAACGGCUCACCUAGGCGACGAUCCCUAGCUGGUCUGAGAGGAUGACCAGCCACACUGGAACUGAGACACGGUCCAGACUCCUACGGGAGGCAGCAGUGGGGAAUAUUGCACAAUGGGCGCAAGCCUGAUGCAGCCAUGCCGCGUGUAUGAAGAAGGCCUUCGGGUUGUAAAGUACUUUCAGCGGGGAGGAAGGCGAUAAGGUUAAUAACCUUGUCGAUUGACGUUACCCGCAGAAGAAGCACCGGCUAACUCCGUGCCAGCAGCCGCGGUAAUACGGAGGGUGCAAGCGUUAAUCGGAAUUACUGGGCGUAAAGCGCACGCAGGCGGUCUGUCAAGUCGGAUGUGAAAUCCCCGGGCUCAACCUGGGAACUGCAUUCGAAACUGGCAGGCUAGAGUCUUGUAGAGGGGGGUAGAAUUCCAGGUGUAGCGGUGAAAUGCGUAGAGAUCUGGAGGAAUACCGGUGGCGAAGGCGGCCCCCUGGACAAAGACUGACGCUCAGGUGCGAAAGCGUGGGGAGCAAACAGGAUUAGAUACCCUGGUAGUCCACGCCGUAAACGAUGUCGAUUUGGAGGUUGUGCCCUUGAGGCGUGGCUUCCGGAGCUAACGCGUUAAAUCGACCGCCUGGGGAGUACGGCCGCAAGGUUAAAACUCAAAUGAAUUGACGGGGGCCCGCACAAGCGGUGGAGCAUGUGGUUUAAUUCGAUGCAACGCGAAGAACCUUACCUGGUCUUGACAUCCACAGAACUUACCAGAGAUGGUUUGGUGCCUUCGGGAACUGUGAGACAGGUGCUGCAUGGCUGUCGUCAGCUCGUGUUGUGAAAUGUUGGGUUAAGUCCCGCAACGAGCGCAACCCUUAUCCUUUGUUGCCAGCGGUUCGGCCGGGAACUCAAAGGAGACUGCCAGUGAUAAACUGGAGGAAGGUGGGGAUGACGUCAAGUCAUCAUGGCCCUUACGACCAGGGCUACACACGUGCUACAAUGGCAUAUACAAAGAGAAGCGACCUCGCGAGAGCAAGCGGACCUCAUAAAGUAUGUCGUAGUCCGGAUUGGAGUCUGCAACUCGACUCCAUGAAGUCGGAAUCGCUAGUAAUCGUAGAUCAGAAUGCUACGGUGAAUACGUUCCCGGGCCUUGUACACACCGCCCGUCACACCAUGGGAGUGGGUUGCAAAAGAAGUAGGUAGCUUAACCUUCGGGAGGGCGCUUACCAACUUUUGAA
This 1430-nucleotide ribosomal RNA is filed under the name Enterobacteriaceae bacterium. Its description in RNAcentral is "bacterial SSU rRNA". It matches the Rfam family "Bacterial small subunit ribosomal RNA". The record is from RNAcentral. Lineage: Bacteria; Pseudomonadati; Pseudomonadota; Gammaproteobacteria; Enterobacterales; Enterobacteriaceae.